GUCGGGGUAGCCAAGUGGCUAAGGCGCGGGUCUGCUAAACCCGUGGCGCUUCGCGCCGCGAGGGUUCAAAUCCCUCCCCCGACG
This 84-nucleotide transfer RNA is filed under the name Candidatus Mnemosynella bozhongmuii. RNAcentral's name for it is "tRNA-Ser". It matches the Rfam family "tRNA". Rfam says of the family: Transfer RNA (tRNA) molecules are approximately 80 nucleotides in length. Their secondary structure includes four short double-helical elements and three loops (D, anti-codon, and T loops). RNAcentral also lists the same sequence under 1 other name. The record is from RNAcentral. Lineage: Archaea; Methanobacteriati; Methanobacteriota; Archaeoglobi; Candidatus Mnemosynellales; Candidatus Mnemosynellaceae.